Non-coding RNA from Cinara cedri, 272 nucleotides. The record is from the annotation of a GenBank genome assembly. NCBI's taxonomy places the organism in Eukaryota, Metazoa, Arthropoda, Insecta, Hemiptera, Aphididae.
AGUAAAUCGAAGACUGAAAUGAUAAUGUUUGUCUUUAUCUGUGUACAACGGAGACUUUUCGGGGCUAUAUGAUCGCCCUGUGUAAAUACCGUAGAUGGGCAUUUGAUAUCUUUUUGGGAAUAGCUCUAAUCAAAUAUAAUAUAAGUAUAAAUAAAAUAUCAAACAUACAUUUUUGAUGGACCUAGUCUUCCCCUAAUUUCCGUCCAUAUGUCCAUAUGAUAAAAACGGAAUUACACCGGUAGUAAAAUUGAGUAUAAGACGUAGUCAGUCAC